Molecule: ribosomal RNA, 253 nt
Filed under: uncultured bacterium
Lineage: Bacteria
Description: partial 16S ribosomal RNA
Rfam family: Bacterial small subunit ribosomal RNA
Source: RNAcentral
UACGGAGGGAGCUAGCGUUGUUCGGAAUUACUGCGCGUAAAGCGCACGUAGGCGGCUUUUUAAGUCAGGGGUGAAAUCCCGGGGCUCAACCCCGGAACUGCCCUUGAAACUGGAGAGCUAGAAUCUUGGAGAGGCGAGUGGAAUUCCGAGUGUAGAGGUGAAAUUCGUAGAUAUUCGGAAGAACACCAAUGGCGAAGGCGACUCGCUGGACAAGUAUUGACGCUGAGGUGCGAAAGCGUGGGGAGCAAACAGG